This 468-nucleotide ribosomal RNA is filed under the name uncultured bacterium. RNAcentral describes it as "partial 16S ribosomal RNA". It matches the Rfam family "Bacterial small subunit ribosomal RNA", at positions 28 to 507 of the family's 1533-position model. The record is from RNAcentral.
GACGAACGCUGGCGGCGUGCUUAACACAUGCCAGUCGAACGGAAAGGCCCUGCUUUUGUGGGGUGCUCGAGUGGCGAACGGGUGAGUAACACGUGAGUAACCUGCCCUUGACUUUGGGAUAACUUCAGGAAACUGGGGCUAAUACCGGAUAGGAGCUCCUGCUGCAUGGUGGGGGUUGGAAAGUUUCGGCGGUUGGGGAUGGACUCGCGGCUUAUCAGCUUGUUGGUGGGGUAGUGGCUUACCAAGGCUUUGACGGGUAGCCGGCCUGAGAGGGUGACCGGCCACAUUGAGACUGAGAUACGGCCCAGACUCCUACGGGAGGCAGCAGUGGGGAAUACUGCACAAUGGGCGGAAGCCUGAUGCAGCAGCGCCGCGUGCGGGAUGACGGCCUUCGGGUUGUAAACCGCUUUCGCCUGUGACGAAGCGUGAGUGACGGUAAUGGGUAAAGAGGCACCGGCUAACUACGUG